UGGAAAGUUCAAUAUAAUACCAUGAAUGUGUCCAAAUGCAUUCCAUCUGCUUAUGCAAUGAUGUAUGAGCGCGCUUAACUUCUUUAUUUUAUCAUCACAUUCAUUUUUCUGACACAAUUGAUUGUGACAAGCUGCAAAAGAGCAAUCAAGUGUGAGCGUACUGUGUAUAAAAUACAGCAAGAGGUUUUUUUUCUUUUUUUCCCCUCUUUUAAUAGAUUUUUCCCCAUCCCAGCAACCUCCGUGAAGGGCGGGUAUUUUUUCCAAUCCCCUUCCCCCCCCCCCCUAUCAUCCAGACAAUGUCUUUGUUAGAAGUGUCCAAGGGCAAAGUGGAAAUAUGUGACCCUCUCUCCUCGUCUUCAAUGGAGGGUUGAGCUCCGGCACUGCUGUCAGUGUCAGAUGCCAACACUGAUAAUGCCAGGGGCGAGAUGGCAACUGUCCACCCUGGAGCCUGCAUUUUAAAACUGCUCCUGCCUGCAGCUUUCAGAUGGGCACUGACUGCAUAGAAGAGCUGUGUCACAAGAGAAAAAAAAGCUCACUUUGAAAUAAUUCCAGAGCCAAGUUGCAAACAAGUCGGAGGAUUGAUGUUCACCACCAUGUUGCAUCACCACUUUUACCAACACUGAGCAUGAGGACGAGACCCACUGAAUUCUGAAUCGCUGCACAGUUUAAGAGGUCA
Astatotilapia calliptera (eastern happy) is the source of this 676-nucleotide long non-coding RNA. NCBI's taxonomy places the organism in Eukaryota, Metazoa, Chordata, Actinopteri, Cichliformes, Cichlidae. The record is from Ensembl.